UUUAACUCUUGUUGAGAGCCUUAUGUACCUUUGACUCUAGUUGAGAGUUUUAUGUACAUUUAAUUCUUAUUGACUCUUUUAGAUUACUUCAAUUUUUGUUCCAUGUUGUGGGCUGUUCUUUCCACUGUUGUGCUGGAACCACCAGCUGAAUCAAUAACUUAGGUUCAUGGGGAGCAAAAGUAUAGAGAUUUGCUCUUGCGAGAUUGAGGGAACGUUACCUCACCAAAUGCCACAUCAAACUCCAAUCUGCUACAUGAGCACAACCAUACAAUAAGGAUAGCCAACAACCAAACAAGAGAAGCCAAUUGACGAGAUGAAGUCUGUGGAGAUCCACGAACAACAUUGCCGAACAAGGAGAAAGUGGUGGUGUCGGACACAUCCGAGCCAGUGAAGCCACUGGAACCCUACACACAAUCUCAGUAGGUUGUAUGGCUGAAGAUCGGAAUAUGGAUGAACAUAUAGGAUAGAUACUGUCUGGGAAAGAGAAACCGAACAUAUCACUAUAACAACCAAGGCUAAAAAACAGAAGUAAGGAAAACAUAUAAGAAGGAAAGGGAGGGGAGGACAGCGACCGACCCCGGCCAAAGCUAGGGUCGGCGUCAUUGGUUUUACUGAAAUUUGGAGGCCUCACACG
RNAcentral lists this small RNA (634 nucleotides) under Malus domestica (apple). RNAcentral's name for it is "sRNA MD02G0250700". Lineage: Eukaryota; Viridiplantae; Streptophyta; Magnoliopsida; Rosales; Rosaceae. The record is from RNAcentral.